This 1889-nucleotide ribosomal RNA is filed under the name human gut metagenome. Its description in RNAcentral is "bacterial LSU rRNA". It matches the Rfam family "Bacterial large subunit ribosomal RNA", at positions 3 to 1985 of the family's 2925-position model. The record is from RNAcentral.
UCAAGCGAACAAGAGCGUAAGGUGAAUGCCUUGGCAUCAGGAGCCGAAGAAGGACGCGACAAGCUGCGAUAAGCUGCGGGGAGCUGCAAAUAAGCAUUGAUCCGCAGAUUUCCGAAUGUGGAAACACACACGGUGAAGAACCGUGUAGCGUAAACUGAAUACAUAGGUUUACGCGGGGAACCCCGGGAACUGAAACAUCUAAGUACCGGGAGGAAGAGAAAUCAACCGAGAUUCCGCGAGUAGUGGCGAGCGAAAGCGGAGGAGGCUAAACCGACAGUAGAAAUACGGUCGGGGUUCGGACUGUUGUAAGCGAGCGGAAGUUAGUCGAAUGGCAUGGGAAGGCCAGCCGGAGGGAGUGAGAGCCUCGUAGGCGAAAACGGAAGCGAGUGAACAGGAUCCAGAGUAUCAGCGGACACGAGAAAUCCGGUGAGAACGUGGGGGGACCACCCUCUAAGCCUAAAUACUACCUGAUGACCGAUAGUGGAGCAGUACUGUGAAGGAAAGGUGAAAAGAACCCCGGGAGGGGAGUGAAAGAGAACCUGAAACCUUAUGCUUACAAGCACACAGAGCCCCGUAUGCGGGUGAUGUGGUACUUUUUGUAGAACGGUCCGGCGAGUUAUGGUAUGCAGCGAGGUUAAGUGAUUCAGUCACGGAGCCGCAGGGAAACCGAGUGUGAACAGCACGUAGAGUUGCAUGUCAUAGACCCGAAACCGGGUGACCUAUCCAUGAGCAGGUUGAAGUCAGGGUAAAGCCUGAUGGAGGACCGAACCGACCCCCGUUGAAAAGUUGGCGGAUGACUUGUGGAUAGCGGAGAAAUUCCAAUCGAACCCGGAUAUAGCUGGUUCUCCCCGAAAUAGCUUUAGGGCUAGCCUCGAAUAUAUUUACCGGAGGUAAAGCACUGAAUGGUCGAGGGGUCGAGAGACUACCAACACCUAUCAAACUAAGAAUACCGGAUAAAUGAGUUCGGGAGUCAGACUACGUGAGAUAAGUCUCGUGGUCAAAAGGGAAACAGCCCAGACCCACAGCUAAGGUCCCCAAUGUAUGCUAAGUGGAAAACGAUGUGACAAUGCUAAGACAACUAGGAUGUUGGCUUAGAAGCAGCCACUCAUUCAAAGAGUGCGUAAUAGCUCACUAGUCGAGUGAUGUUGCGCGGAAAAUUCAACGGGGCUAAGCAUACAACCGAAGCUUGGGCAGUAGAAAUACUGGGUAGGGGAGCGUUCUGUACGGGCAGAAGCAUCAGCGGAAGCAGAUGCGGACUGUACAGAAGUGAGAAUGCCGGAAUGAGUAGCGAGAAUUGUGUGAGAAUCAUAAUGGCCGAAAAUCUAAGGUUUCCGGGGGUAGGGUCGUCCACCCCGGGUUAGCCGGGAGCUAAGGCGAGGCCGCGAGGCGUAGUCGAUGCACAAACGGUAGAGAUUCCGUUGCCGCCAGAUCUUAAGUAACUGACACGAGGGUAGAGUUCAACCCGGCCGAUGGUAGAGCCGGGCGAAAGGGACUGAAGAAUAGUAGGGAAGUGAACGAAGCCAGCGGCGAGAAAAGGUUAUGUAUGAAAUCAGGCGCCCGUACCGCAAACCGACACAGGUAGAUGAGGAGAGGAUCCUAAGGCCAGCGGGAGAAGGGUUGUUAAGGAACUCGGCAUAUUGACCCCGUAACUUCGGAAGAAGGGGUGCCUCCGUAAGGAGGCCGCAGUGAAAAGGCCCAGGCAACUGUUUAUCAAAAACACAGGUUUCUGCAAAAGCGAAAGCUGAAGUAUAGGAGCUGACGCCUGCCCGGUGCUGGAAGGUCAAGGGGAUCGCUUAGCGCAAGCGAAGGCGAGAACUUAAGCCCCAGUAAACGGCGGCCGUAACUAUAACGGUCCUAAGGUAGCGAAAUUCCUUGUCAGGUAAGUUCUG